This 190-nucleotide unclassified non-coding RNA is filed under the name uncultured Diatrypaceae. Its description in RNAcentral is "sequence contains ITS1". The record is from RNAcentral. Lineage: Eukaryota; Fungi; Ascomycota; Sordariomycetes; Xylariales; Diatrypaceae.
CAGAGUUAUUCGACUCCAAAACCCAUGUGAACUUACCCGUGUUGCCUCGGCGGGAAGGCCUACCCGGGAGCUACCCGGGACUUACCCGGUAGCUACCCGGUAGCUACCCUGUAGUUGGCCGACCUGCCAGAGGACAUUAUAAACUCUUGUUUUGCCGUGGCACUCUGAGUAACUAUAAAUGAAUGAAUUA